Long non-coding RNA from Carassius gibelio (silver crucian carp), 595 nucleotides. RefSeq lists it as uncharacterized. Lineage: Eukaryota; Metazoa; Chordata; Actinopteri; Cypriniformes; Cyprinidae. The transcript has 3 exons. The record is from RefSeq and is a predicted model, not a curated record.
ACGCAGGGCGGCCUUUAACGUGCCUGAAGGAAAUUCCUACUAAAGAUAAAACACGAGGGAAAUAAUCUAUUGAAAUCACAGUCUAGUACAAUCUGCAAAAAUAGAUAACGUUGUUGAUAUUUUAUUCCACUGACUGCGUCAUAUAAAGGCAACCUGAAGUGAAAACGAGAGCUGAGACUAAGGCAGUCAAACGUCAAAUGUGAGAAGAGGAGUUCCUCACUUGCUCCAUGUAGGACACCAGAGCCUCUCUGUUGGCAAGCCACUCACUGGCUAGAGCUGACGCUGGAGGAAACUUAUCACAGCUGAGCUCCAGAGUAAUCUCAAAGCAGUUCGUAUGGAGGGCUGAUGCAGAAUUUAUGGGCUCUGGAGAAGAAAAAAAAACAUCAGGCUGAAAAAACAUCAUUUGACUUCAGGGUGCAGUCAUGAAUUUGUUUUCAUACAACAACACAAAACAUGAGCUUAGAAAACUUUUAUUAAAUAACUUACCAGAUUUGUACUCUCCAUUGCAACUGAUUGCUUAAAAGAAUUAUAAACAUUCAAUAAAUACCUGCUUCAUGAUGAAAUACACUAUAACUAAAUAAAAAAAUGACUGCUU